GACUACCGGACCAACUAUGGACCAAUUACGAGACAUUUGUCUUGAACAACAGAAGCGGUCUUUAUUUUGGUGCGGCAUUAUUUGCACUUGGAUUCACAACUGUCAUUAUCACAGGAUUUGUGUCCUUAUGCCGAAGUUACUUGGAGAAAGGGCAUACACCCAUACUUACCUGGAGACCAGGCAUACACAUGCUGUAUAGAUGAAUUACAUAGAUGAAUGAACAAAGGAAGUUGUAAA
Molecule: long non-coding RNA, 237 nt
Organism: Mizuhopecten yessoensis (Yesso scallop)
Lineage: Eukaryota; Metazoa; Mollusca; Bivalvia; Pectinida; Pectinidae
Exons: 2
Source: RefSeq, a predicted model, not a curated record